GUGUCAGCAGCCGCGGUAACACGUAGGGGGCAAGCGUUGUUCGGAAUUACUGGGCGUAAAGGGCAUGUAGGCGGUUUAGUAAGCUUGGCGUGAAAGACCACGGCUUAACUGUGGAGUUGCGUUGAGAACUGCUGAACUUGAGUUACGGAGAGGGAGCUAGAAUUCCUGGUGUAGGGGUGGAAUCUGUAGAGAUCAGGAAGAAUACCGAUGGCGAAGGCAAGCGUCUGGCCGAUAACUGACGCUGAGGUGCGAAAGUGUGGGGAUCAAACAGGAUUAGAUACCCUGGUAGUCCACACUGUAAACGAUGUACCCUAGGUGCUGGUGCGGAUGCAUCAGGGCCGAAGCGAACGCGCUAAGUGUACCGCCUGGGGAGUAUGCUCGCAAGGGUGAAACUCAAAUGAAUUGACGG
This 409-nucleotide ribosomal RNA is filed under the name uncultured bacterium. Its description in RNAcentral is "bacterial SSU rRNA". It matches the Rfam family "Bacterial small subunit ribosomal RNA", at positions 505 to 916 of the family's 1533-position model. The record is from RNAcentral.